This 520-nucleotide ribosomal RNA is filed under the name uncultured prokaryote. RNAcentral's name for it is "bacterial SSU rRNA". It matches the Rfam family "Bacterial small subunit ribosomal RNA", at positions 412 to 905 of the family's 1533-position model. The record is from RNAcentral.
CUGUCUGACUAUUCUUAGUGCAGGGCUCCUACUUGCUUAAACCCGGGGGUGGAUACUCAACCUCUUGGCCGGGGGACGACUCGUGCCGGUACCUGUUCUUUCGCCUUCGACUAACUCCGUGCCAUCAGCCCCGGUUAUACGUAUGACACAAGCCUUAUCCGUAUUUAUGGGGCGUACAUUGAUCGUAAUUGGUCUUCCUAAUUGGAUCUCAAAUUUCCCGGUUUAUCCGGGACGAGUCCUCCAAUCCUGUUCUACUAAAUUCCAGCAAGACAGAACGGAUUUCCCCUGGUAGAGGUAAAUUGCAUACAUCUCGUAACGAACACCUGAGUCGAAAGCUGUAUGCUAAGUUGUCACUAACACUGACACCCGAAUCCGUAUGGACCCACCUGAAUUAAAUCCUCUGGUACUCCACGCCUUAAAUUAUCUACACUACGUAUCGGGAGUAUCUACCCUCUCUGUGCCGAAUCUAACGCUUUUCGUGUCCCCCCUGGGGAGUACAGUCACAACGCUAAAACUCAAA